UGAGGAAUAUUGGACAAUGGAUGGAAAUCUGAUCCAGCCAUGCCGCGUGCAGGAAGACGGUCCUAUGGAUUGUAAACUGCUUUAGCAUGGGAGCAAUAAGGUGUACGCGUACACCGAUGAGAGUACCAUGAGAAUAAGCACCGGCUAACUCCGUGCCAGCAGCCGCGGUAAUACGUAGGGAGCGAGCGUUAUCCGGAUUUACUGGGUGUAAAGGGCGAGUAGGCGGGCUGGUAAGUUGGAAGUGAAAUGUCGGGGCUUAACCCCGGAACUGCUUUCAAAACUGCUGGUCUUGAGUGAUGGAGAGGCAGGCGGAAUUCCUAGUGUAGCGGUGAAAUGCGUAGAUAUUAGGAGGAACACCAGUGGCGAAGGCGGCCUGCUGGACAUUAACUGACGCUGAGGAGCGAAAGCGUGGGGAGC
This 417-nucleotide ribosomal RNA is filed under the name uncultured Butyricicoccus sp. RNAcentral describes it as "bacterial SSU rRNA". It matches the Rfam family "Bacterial small subunit ribosomal RNA", at positions 355 to 769 of the family's 1533-position model. The record is from RNAcentral. Lineage: Bacteria; Bacillati; Bacillota; Clostridia; Eubacteriales; Butyricicoccaceae.